RNAcentral lists this ribosomal RNA (253 nucleotides) under uncultured bacterium. Its description in RNAcentral is "partial 16S ribosomal RNA". It matches the Rfam family "Bacterial small subunit ribosomal RNA", at positions 524 to 776 of the family's 1533-position model. The record is from RNAcentral.
UACGUAGGGUGCGAGCGUUAAUCGGAAUUACUGGGCGUAAAGCGUGCGCAGGCGGUUUUGUAAGCCAGAUGUGAAAGCCCCGGGCUUAACCUGGGAAUGGCAUUUGGGACUGCAAGGCUGGAGUGUGGCAGAGGAGACUGGAAUUCCUGGUGUAGCAGUGAAAUGCGUAGAUAUCAGGAGGAACACCGGUGGCGAAGGCGGAUCUCUGGGCCUUACCUGACGCUGAGGCGCGAAAGCUAGGGGAGCAAACAGG